Molecule: ribosomal RNA, 763 nt
Filed under: Vibrio sp. FCH-08
Lineage: Bacteria; Pseudomonadati; Pseudomonadota; Gammaproteobacteria; Vibrionales; Vibrionaceae
Description: bacterial SSU rRNA
Rfam family: Bacterial small subunit ribosomal RNA
Source: RNAcentral
GGCCUAACACAUGCAAGUCGAGCGGAAACGACACUAACAAUCCUUCGGGUGCGUUAAUGGGCGUCGAGCGGCGGACGGGUGAGUAAUGCCUAGGAAAUUGCCUUGAUGUGGGGGAUAACCAUUGGAAACGAUGGCUAAUACCGCAUGAUGCCUACGGGCCAAAGAGGGGGACCUUCGGGCCUCUCGCGUCAAGAUAUGCCUAGGUGGGAUUAGCUAGUUGGUGAGGUAAUGGCUCACCAAGGCGACGAUCCCUAGCUGGUCUGAGAGGAUGAUCAGCCACACUGGAACUGAGACACGGUCCAGACUCCUACGGGAGGCAGCAGUGGGGAAUAUUGCACAAUGGGCGAAAGCCUGAUGCAGCCAUGCCGCGUGUAUGAAGAAGGCCUUCGGGUUGUAAAGUACUUUCAGUUGUGAGGAAGGGUGUGUAGUUAAUAGCUGCGCAUCUUGACGUUAGCAACAGAAGAAGCACCGGCUAACUCCGUGCCAGCAGCCGCGGUAAUACGGAGGGUGCGAGCGUUAAUCGGAAUUACUGGGCGUAAAGCGCAUGCAGGUGGUUCAUUAAGUCAGAUGUGAAAGCCCGGGGCUCAACCUCGGAACUGCAUUUGAAACUGGUGAACUAGAGUACUGUAGAGGGGGGUAGAAUUUCAGGUGUAGCGGUGAAAUGCGUAGAGAUCUGAAGGAAUACCAGUGGCGAAGGCGGCCCCCUGGACAGAUACUGACACUCAGAUGCGAAAGCGUGGGGAGCAAACAGGAUUAGAAACCC